Molecule: ribosomal RNA, 460 nt
Filed under: uncultured bacterium
Lineage: Bacteria
Description: partial 16S ribosomal RNA
Rfam family: Bacterial small subunit ribosomal RNA
Source: RNAcentral
CCUACGGGCGGCAGCAGUGAGGAAUAUUGGUCAAUGGACGAGAGUCUGAACCAGCCAAGUAGCGUGAAGGAUGACUGCCCUAUGGGUUGUAAACUUCUUUUAUAAAGGAAUAAAACGAGGCACGUGUGCCUUUUUGCAUGUACUUUAUGAAUAAGGAUCGGCUAACUCCGUGCCAGCCGCCGCGGUAAUACGGAGGAUGCGAGCGUUAUCCGGAUUUAUUGGGUUUAAAGGGAGCGUAGAUGGGUUGUUAAGUCAGUUGUGAAAGUUUGGGGCUCAACCGUAAAAUUGCCAUUGAUACUGGCAGUCUUGAGUACAGUUGAGGUAGGCGGAAUUCGCGGUGUAGCGGUGAAAUGCUUAGAUAUCGCGAAGAACCCCGAUUGCGAAGGCAGCUUACUAAGCUGUGACUGACAUUGAGGCUCGAAAGUGUGGGUAUCAAACAGGAUUAGAUACCCUUGUAGUC